Molecule: long non-coding RNA, 790 nt
Organism: Hipposideros armiger (great roundleaf bat)
Lineage: Eukaryota; Metazoa; Chordata; Mammalia; Chiroptera; Hipposideridae
Exons: 3
Source: RefSeq, a predicted model, not a curated record
UUUAUUGGAUCAUGAAAUUGAAAUGACAGGUCUGGAGAGCUGAACCUCCCUGGCUCCAUCUCUACUCGUCAACACACCCUCCUCCCCGCAAACCUCCUCCCUGUCCUUGAAGUAGGAGCUUUGAGAGUAACUCUUCAACAGAGAAACCCCUCUAAGCUUUCUCCAGAAUGUUUUCAGGGCGAGCUCGUGAAAUUUUCUGCAGGGACAAUAUUUCUAAGCACCCUGGAAACUCUGGAAGCAUUACAGUGGCUUAUGUUACACGUUGAGCAGGCGGACUGGAGGCUGUGCACACACACAGUGGAGAUGCGCGCAGUCCACGACCACACCACACAUCCCAGCAGACGGAGGCUGAGCGACGUGCUGAGGACGUGGACGGAGACCGUCACUGGCCGCCUCGUUGGAGGUUCUUGUACGCACCGCUGUUUACGUGAGACUAAGUCCAGCGGGCAGAGAGGUGCCGCUGGGAUCCUGGAAGAGUCGCUCUCAUAGUCAUGUGGAACUGGGGAAAGGGUAUGAGCCUGACGCUGUAGUCUUUAAAAAUUGUGGUCCCUUGUCCUCCAAUGACAGAACUGCAUCUGAAUAAUUUCAGGGAGUUAUGAGAAAUACAGAUUCCUGGGUUCCAGCACACGCUUACUGAGUCAAAAGCCUCCAUCGUAGGGCCCAAGGAAAGCACUUUUGCAGCUUCAGCAGGUGAUGGUGAUACAGCCUGAGCUCCAAGAACUGAGAGGCAGGCGUCAGGUGCAGUUAAGAAGAGGAAAAGAAUUGGAGUUUUUUUUUUUGAAUAGAGGGA